Molecule: long non-coding RNA, 337 nt
Organism: Eptesicus fuscus (big brown bat)
Lineage: Eukaryota; Metazoa; Chordata; Mammalia; Chiroptera; Vespertilionidae
Exons: 3
Source: RefSeq, a predicted model, not a curated record
CAGACCCAUCAAGGCACAACUGCCUGCACCAGAGCAGAUCACGGAACCGCUCCUUGUUACCUUGCUCCGCGUACCCUCCCGGCGUACCCUCUCGAUGUGCUGUAAAUGUUCAUUAACUAUCCUGUACCCACCAAGCCCACAGCCACGUGGACCCCCGCACGUAAUGCACUUGAUGGACUGCGACUAGCCUGAUUCUGUGCCAGACUUAGCUCCACCAGGGAACAGAAACCCUGCACACUGGCUUUGCUUCUAGCUCUGCUGAAUCCCCAGCUUCACCUCUUCCAGGCUGGAUUAAGGGAAACGGGACUUUUGAAACUGAGACACCAACAGCCAGUGG